GAGAACUCAUCACGGCGUGGAGCCACCACUGAGUUAAACCUCACAUGCACUAUGCUAGGGUACGACGUCUGAGCUUCUAUUUCGUAUUCGUUCUUUAAUAUUCUUUGAAAUGGUCCAUAUGCUAUUGAUAUGUUCCGAAAUGUUUCAUUUGUCAUUGAUAUGCUCCGAAACAUUUCAUAGGCCAUUGAUAUGCUCCGAAAUAUUCCAUCUGUUAUUGUUAUGCUUCGAAAUGUUCCAUAUCAUUGAUAUGCUCCGGAACAUUUCAUACGCCAUUGAUAUGCUCCGAAAUGCUUCAUCUGCUAUUGUCUCAAAUUAUUGUUCACAAUACCCUUUUGUACUCUGGUGUUUGUGGGAUUAUUUGGACCUUUGCCAGAAAUGGUAAAGGGUAUGUGCUUAGAGCCUACGAUGCUCUAGAUUAUGUUUGGUGGUCAUUCAGAAAUGGAUGGACCAUAUUAUGUUUGGAAUCCCAUUUCAUCUUCUAUUUGUUUCAUCUGUUAUUGUUACGCUUCGAAAUGUUUUAUAUAUCAUUGAUAUGCUCCAAAACAUUUCAUACACUAUUGAUAUGCUUCAAUUACUCUGUGCUCCAUUUGCUAUGAACUGAUAUAUUUUGAAAUGUCCUAUUUGCCAUUAAUAUGCUCUGGAUCAUCUCGUACGCUAUUGAUAUGCUCCAAUUACUCUAUGCUCCAUUUGUUAUGAACCAAAUAUGUUAUGAAUGAAAUGACAUUUGCGAUUCUGUAUCUAAUGAGAUGAUAUCCUUGAAUCUCUUGGAUUCUGUCUUGCAUUGUGAUAUCUUGUUUGUUUAAAACUGUCCCUUCUCGUGCUAUAUAUGCUUUGUUACUUGCUGAGCUAUUUUUAGCUCACUCUGUUAUUAUAUAAAUCUUUCAGGUCAGCUUGUCACUCUUUGAGAUGUUUGAAUUGGGCUGAGGCAGUGGAGAGCUAUUCUGAAUUAUGGGCAAGUCUUGUUGGGUAUUAUGUUAUUGUUGUAUAAGCAUAUUUUGUAUGUAAUGAAAUGUUGUCGAUGAACCGAAAUGGAUAUACCUUGUAAAAGUGUUAGAAGAUCUCUCUUAUUUGGAAUUUUGGAAUGUUAAGUCUAGUUUACGAUGAUAUGAACUUGUGGUAAAUGGUUGGAGUUCUGACUGUAUAAAUUACUUAGCUUGUGGAUU
Molecule: long non-coding RNA, 1163 nt
Filed under: Musa acuminata (dwarf banana)
Lineage: Eukaryota; Viridiplantae; Streptophyta; Magnoliopsida; Zingiberales; Musaceae
Description: long non-coding RNA (MACU_LNC010141)
Source: RNAcentral